GGGAUUGAGUUCGGUUGGGCUGUGACACCUGUCACCCCACUGAUUGCCAGUGUUGAUUUAGCUGAUCUGGCUGGCUGGGCGGGUGUCCCCUUACUCCCUCACCGCCCCAUUUGCGCUCAGAUGAUGAGGUCGGCCUUCCCGGAAUAGAGAAGGAUUGGUUUUCGGUCGAGGGUGUGAGUAGUUGUGCUCCCCUGCUAGAAUCUCCAGACAAGCUCUCAAGGUCCUAAGUGGGACUGAUACCUUGUUUCACGUGAACAGCUCUCACUGACCAAGGGCCUUGCGACAGAACCUGAUUAAAU
This is an unclassified non-coding RNA of Erinaceus europaeus (western European hedgehog), 299 nucleotides long. Its record names the gene 7SK. It matches the Rfam family "7SK RNA". Rfam says of the family: 7SK was discovered as an abundant small nuclear RNA in the mid-70s but a possible function has only recently been suggested. Two independent studies have found that 7SK RNA binds the CDK9/cyclin T complex (known as elongation factor P-TEFb). NCBI's taxonomy places the organism in Eukaryota, Metazoa, Chordata, Mammalia, Eulipotyphla, Erinaceidae. The record is from Ensembl.